This 443-nucleotide long non-coding RNA is filed under the name Equus caballus (horse). RNAcentral describes it as "lncRNA (ENSECAG00000057515.1)". The record is from RNAcentral. Lineage: Eukaryota; Metazoa; Chordata; Mammalia; Perissodactyla; Equidae.
CAGUCCCCAGAGGGCUUCUCUGCGGAGUGGAGACAGUCCAUCAGGUUUCACCAAGGGGUCCCCAGAGGCCACUCCAGAGACUGUGUUCCCCCGUCUGUGGCCACACCUCACCUGGUCUUCGUUGGCUCCAUCCUCUGCGGCUGUGUCUGGGAUAACUCUCGCCAAGCAGGGUCAGCCCCCCGGGAGCAGGCCGCUAACGAGCUUCAGAUGUCCAGGCCAGACUGCCUCGCAGCAGGCGGGUGUGCAGAGGCUUGGCUGAUGGCGGCCCCCCGGGCGGCGGUGGUGGCUCAGAGGACACCUCCUCUUCCCUUCGUAGCUUACUUACCUCCCAACUUGGAUGGAGCAGGUGCCAGAGUUCCCCCAGAAGCCCCAGCCCGGGCGGCUAUUGCAAGGAGAUCUGGAAAAGGGCAGGGAGGCUGGAGGACAAAUGCAUUGUGAUCAUU